GGAUGCCAUUUGUACAGAGCUGUCAUGUCAUAAUGUCAUAUCAAAAUAUCUAAGAGUACUCUGGAAAUACAGAUUCCCAAGUUGUUUUUGUGGGUGCCAAAAGGACUGCUGGGCAUGUUCAAAGCAAUGUAUGGAAAGAGACUGCCACCUCAGAGGAACCAAAGACUGGAGUGAUUAUCAUCGCAGAGGAUGAAAGUGUAUUCCAGUGUCUACCUCAUUCAUUUCCUAAAGUGAAUCACCCAGGCCUUGGCUGUUCUAAUAUCUGGAAUUCUCUUUCUACUACAAGUAUAUCUGUCAACACAGAAUGUUACCCACUUACUCCCUAUGUUUUCUGAUCACAUAGAAUCUGAGAGGGGAAAUAAAACUUAUAAAUUGUUGAAUCCAAGAUUACAAACUCCAUUGUCUUAAAGGGCUAAGCUGUGGUGACAGGUGCAGCAGGCCAGGCAUAAGUAAUAGGGAGCAGGGGAGACUGUGGGAAACUGAAGGGCAGUUGUCUUAUAACAGGAUGAAAUUCUAAUCUUUUACAAUAUAUUUCAAGGCAAACAAAGCAACACUCUGGGCUGGGAGUCCAUCCAUGAACUACCAACUUUUAGCCCCAAAUUAUGAAUACCUUCCUUAUUUAUAGAUGAGGAAAUUGAGACUGAGAGUAGGGAUAUGACAUAAGUUAAGGCAGAAAUUGGCUUCUGGCUUAAUUGAAGCAUUUAGAUGGGUUGCGAGUGAUAACAUUAAAAUGAUGAUUGCAAAAAGCUUUAUUUCUUACUGUAAUGUCAAUAUAAUAUUG
RNAcentral lists this non-coding RNA (781 nucleotides) under Pongo abelii (Sumatran orangutan). The record is from RNAcentral. Lineage: Eukaryota; Metazoa; Chordata; Mammalia; Primates; Hominidae.